Long non-coding RNA from Homo sapiens (human), 1637 nucleotides. The record is from Ensembl. NCBI's taxonomy places the organism in Eukaryota, Metazoa, Chordata, Mammalia, Primates, Hominidae.
GCUGGGCCCCGGGUCUCUCACUGGCAGAAUGGAGUUCUCGGAGCUGAUCCAUACGGGCUGAGCCCAAGCAGAGUUUCUACGGGGCCCGGAGGCGCCCCCGCUUCGCGGCACGGUGUGAGUCACCGUCCACCACCUGCUCCUGUCGCCAGGGCCCGCGUCCUCUCCGGACCUGUGGCUGCUGCUGUUGCGUAGCGUCGACUCCUUCGAGAAGCAGUGAGACGUGGCGGGGUGGGGGAGGGUCCCCGGGGUUGGGGAGCGCGCGGCUUGGCGGAGUAGGGGGCACGGCCAGCGCAGUCAGAGCUGGCGCCCUCCUGCGUAAGCCCAAUCCGGGAAACUCGUUGCCCCUCUCCUGGGAAAGGAACGUCCCUCCCCAGGGUUGCGAGUGACUCGGGCACCAUCACCCUGUGCUGUAAAGACCUGCGAGUGCUGCAGCUGGAAAUAGAGGGCGCGGAAGCGACGCUGGGCAUCGCCCGCUCCAUCGAGGGCCUGAGAUUGGGCGACUCCUGGCACUUCCUCCCGCCCGAACUCUACUGCAAGAGAGUAGCUCGCGAAGUGGGCGCGGUCGUAGGGGCCCGGGAAGGUGGAAGCGCCGGGCCUGGAAGAGGCGCGGGGACAGGGCACUCCCUGGGUGCCCUAGACCUGGCCUCUCUCCUCCCUGCGCUGCAGACCAACGCGUGGCGGCUGAGCGAGGUUCUGCUACGCUCCAGCCAGCCCCUAACUGGUCCCCAGAAGCGGCGCUGCUACAGGGACCAGGAGCUGCUGCGAACUGCGCUGGCGGGGGCUCGUCCUUGGGCGCGGGGCUUCAUCAUGGACACGCUCUCGGCCCAGGCCGCGAAACAAGCCCGCGUGACUGGCGGAGGCACAGAGACCAAGGCCGCUUAACCUGGCUGGUUGCACUGGUCCCUGGAGAGAGGGCGUCCCCUGCAGGAGAGCUUCAUGCGCCUGGUGGAGGCCUGUGGGGACUCGGAGCAAAGCAUGGACAACUGGCUGAGUCGGCUGGACGGCUGCCGCUGACUGUAACAUGUAAAGCAGGCACUGAGCACCACCUGCCUGGCAGUCCAGGGCAUGGAGAGGCACAGACAGCACCCUGCUUGUGACUUCACUGGCCCAACUCAUCCUGGACCCCUUGAGCAAGACCAUGGCUGGAUUCCAGGAACUGGUGGAGUGGAAGUGGAUCCAGGAAAAUGCCGUGUGAAGGGAGGACUCAGAUGCACUCCCUGUGGUCUGGGCUCAACCAGCCAAAAGAGCAACAAAGACUCCAGAACCCACUCUACCUCCUCAAUCCCUUGGCCAUCUGUGGAGCCCCAGAGCCUGCGGCUGUGGCAAGGCCUGUUUCUGCGCUGGACCUGCUCACCUGAGCCUGCAGAAGCUGCAUGGGGGAAGAGUGUGGCAAAUAGUGACAGGAAGGGAGAAGACAGAAGCCUCUCAGCCAACUGCUUCAGCCGAGCCCCUAUUCUAAGCACUGGCUCCUUGGAUAGCAGCUGAGAUGUUCCUGAAACCUCUGCAGGCCCCUUAGGACCUUUACACCUUGGAUGAGGGUGCCUGCAACCCAGGUUAGCCAAAAGUACUGAGGGUCUUAAGUUUGAAGUGUCCAAAGUAUAGGGAGGUCUCAAUAAUAAAAGUCUCCAUGAUCAGCA